GAUUGUACUGUUCGGCACACUCUUCUCUUCGGUUGCGUGUGUAGUGCCCUUAACUGAGUGCUGCACUCGACCGGAAUUUUUACCUCGAAAAAAUUAGAGUGUUCAAAGCAGACCUGAUUAUGUCUGAAUAUUCGUGCAUGGAAUAAUAAAAUAAGAACUUGGUUCUAUUUUAUUGGUUUUCGGAACUCGAGUUAAUGAUUAAGAGGGACAGACGGGGGCAUCCGUACUCUGCCGUUAGAGGUGAAAUUCUUGGAUCGGCGGAAGACGCGCAACUGCGAAAGCAUUUGCCAAGAAUGUUUUCUUUAAUCAAGAACGAAAGUCGGAGGUUCGAAGACGAUCAGAUACCGUCCUAGUUUCGACUGUAAACUAUGCCAGCUAACGAUCAGACAGCGUUCUCUACGACUUGUCUGGCAGUUUCCGGGAAACCCCAGCUUUUGGGUUCCGGGGGAAGUAUGGUUGCAAAGCUGAAACUUAAAGGAAUUGACGGAAGGGCACCACCAGGAGUGG
RNAcentral lists this ribosomal RNA (507 nucleotides) under uncultured eukaryote. RNAcentral describes it as "SSU rRNA". It matches the Rfam family "Eukaryotic small subunit ribosomal RNA", at positions 673 to 1179 of the family's 1831-position model. The record is from RNAcentral.